CCUACGGGUGGCAGCAGUGAGGAAUAUUGGUCAAUGGUCGGGAGACUGAACCAGCCAAGCCGCGUGCGGGAUGAAGGUACAGAGUAUCGUAAACCUCUUUUGUCAGGGAACAAAGGCGGGGACGUGUCCCCGGAUGAGUGUACCUGAAGAAAAAGCAUCGGCUAACUCCGUGCCAGCAGCCGCGGUAAUACGCAGGACGCGCGUGUAUUCCGUUUUUAUUUGGUGUAAGGGGUGCGAAGGCGGUCUGUUAAGUCAGCGGUAAAAGCCGGGGGCUCAACCCCGCACCGCCGUUGAAACUGGCAGUCUUGAGUGGGAGAAAGGUAGGCGGAAUGCGCGGUGUAGCGGUGAAAUGCAUAGAUAUCGCGCAGAACUCCGAUUGCGAAGGCAGCAUGCCGGCUCCACACUGACGCUGAGGCACGAAAGCGUGGGUAUCGAACAGGAUUAGAUACCCUGGUAGUC
This 459-nucleotide ribosomal RNA is filed under the name uncultured bacterium. RNAcentral describes it as "partial 16S ribosomal RNA". It matches the Rfam family "Bacterial small subunit ribosomal RNA", at positions 338 to 795 of the family's 1533-position model. The record is from RNAcentral.